UCGGAGCUCAGGAAGCAUGGCACUCUGGCGGGCAUACCAGCGGGCCCUGGCUGCUCACCCGUGGAAAGUACAGGUCCUGACAGCUGACUUCUGGGGAGGAAGGCAGCACUGCUGGCCCCAUGCCAGUAGCUAUACCUGCCGACCCAGGCCUCCUGGACUGAAGGACAUGCUUCCUGCUCCUCACUCCAAGAAGCCACUUCUUGCCCCUCUGCCUUCUGCGCAUGAAACUCAAAAGCCACAAAAGGUCCCUGAUGGGCCUGGGUGACAUUAUCUCACAGCAGCUGGUGGAGAGGCGGGGUCUGCAGGAACACCAGAGAGGCCGGACUCUGACCAUGGUGUCCCUGGGCUGUGGCUUUGUGGGCCCUGUGGUAGGAGGCUGGUACAAGGUUUUGGAUCGGUUCAUCCCUGGCACCACCAAAGUGGAUGCACUGAAGAAGAUGUUGUUGGAUCAGGGGGGCUUUGCCCCGUGUUUUCUAGGCUGCUUUCUCCCACUGGUAGGGGCACUUAAUGGACUGCCAGCCCAGGACAACUGGGCCAAACUACAGCGGGUGAGCUGGGCAGGUGUGGAGAAUGUCUCUGGCUGGCGGGCUGACAGCCCAGGGGAAGAAGACAGGUUUUACAGGGAUAAAAAAGGGGGUAAGUGCAGGUAGAGCCCCAGGCCAUGGAGGAGAGGAGCUGAGGGUUAUGGUGCAGGAAUGUGCUCUUUGAACCCAAGUCUGUGUGUGACAUUCACACUGGGAAGUGGGAGCUGCUUGGGGGCGCAAGUGUUAAUUUGUUCCUUCUCUGUCUCCCCA
RNAcentral lists this small RNA (794 nucleotides) under Pan troglodytes (chimpanzee). RNAcentral's name for it is "retained intron". The record is from RNAcentral. Lineage: Eukaryota; Metazoa; Chordata; Mammalia; Primates; Hominidae.